This 37-nucleotide ribosomal RNA is filed under the name Fusarium oxysporum. RNAcentral's name for it is "partial 28S ribosomal RNA". Lineage: Eukaryota; Fungi; Ascomycota; Sordariomycetes; Hypocreales; Nectriaceae. The record is from RNAcentral.
UGGCCUCGGAUCAGGUAGGAAUACCCGCUGAACUUAA